UCCUACGGGAGGCAGCAGUGGGGAAUUUUGGACAAUGGGCGCAAGCCUGAUCCAGCAAUGCCGCGUGCAGGAAGAAGGCCUUCGGGUUGUAAAGUUCUUUUGUCCGGAAAGAAAUGGUUCUUUCUAAUACGGGGGGGGGAUGACGGUACCGGAAGAAUAAGCACCGGCUAACUACGUGCCAGCAGCCGCGGUAAUACGUAGGGUGCGAGCGUUAAUCGGAAUUACUGGGCGUAAAGCGUGCGCAGGCGGUUUUAUAAGACAGAUGUGAAAUCCCCGGGCUCAACCUGGGAAUUGCAUUUGUGACUGCAGGGCUAGAGUACGGUAGAGGGGGAUGGAAUUCCGCGUGUAGCAGUGAAAUGCGUAGAUAUGCGGAGGAACACCGAUGGCGAAGGCAAUCCCCUGGACCUGCACUGACGCUCAUGCACGAAAGCGUGGGGAGCAAACAGGAUUAGAUACCCUGGUAGUCCACGCCCUAAACGAUGUCAACUGGUUGUUGGAUGCAUUAUCUCAGUAACGCAGCUAACGCGUGAAGUGACCGCCU
RNAcentral lists this ribosomal RNA (541 nucleotides) under uncultured bacterium. RNAcentral's name for it is "bacterial SSU rRNA". It matches the Rfam family "Bacterial small subunit ribosomal RNA", at positions 337 to 874 of the family's 1533-position model. The record is from RNAcentral.